Callithrix jacchus (white-tufted-ear marmoset) is the source of this 72-nucleotide small nucleolar RNA. Ensembl annotates it as small nucleolar RNA, C/D box 114-25. Its record names the gene SNORD114-25. The record is from Ensembl. NCBI's taxonomy places the organism in Eukaryota, Metazoa, Chordata, Mammalia, Primates, Cebidae.
UGGAUCGAUGAUGACUGCUGGUGGCGUAUGAGUCUUAUACGAUGAAUACGUGUCUAGAACUCUGAGGUCCGU